UACGUAGGGGGCAAGCGUUGUCCGGAUUUACUGGGCGUAAAGAGCGUGUAGGCGGCCACGCAGGUCCGUUGUGAAAACUGGAGGCUCAACCUCCAGCUGUCGACGGAAACCGUAUGGCUAGAGUCCGGAAGAGGAGAGUGGAAUUCCUGGUGUAGCGGUGAAAUGCGCAGAUAUCAGGAAGAACACCAAUGGCGAAGGCAGCUCACUGGGGGUCUUCUGACGCUGAGGAGCGAAAGCCAGGGGAGCGAACGGG
RNAcentral lists this ribosomal RNA (253 nucleotides) under uncultured bacterium. Its description in RNAcentral is "partial 16S ribosomal RNA". It matches the Rfam family "Bacterial small subunit ribosomal RNA", at positions 524 to 776 of the family's 1533-position model. The record is from RNAcentral.